GAGGAUCACCUCCGUGCCACGCGUACCGUAUGGGGCCCGGUAGGCGUUUAUGGAGGGAAGCGACCGUUCCCCGCAACUUGCACGGCUUACUCGAGUCCCCGUCUAGUUAGGAACCUCAUAAUAAAUGCCUUUAUGGGCUGUCACGUGCAUACAUCCAUUUUACCUAAAGUGCUAAACGCACAAAAGCUCUUCACAGAUGCACUUGGGGGAUGCUGCAGGGUCGGGUGGGGGCGGGCCCUGCGGACCUCUCUGGAUGGUCGCUGGGCCUCCUUCCACGCCGACCCCGCUGCUGUCCCCAGACCCGCUGGCGCGUCCCCGUUCCUGCACGAGGGCACUGUCGUUCGGUUUUCUCCAUUUCUCCACCUACACCUUCGAAACCUCUUCUCGGGAACAGCACACCCUACCUCCCGCUCCAGACAGGUUUCUGCGCUAGUCUUAAUUUGGAAAUAAUCACUACAAAUUGGAUUUCUGUUCAGCGCCUCCCACGCUCCUCGAUUAACUCCGGCACGUUAACAAACACCAAAAUACUCCUGUGAAAAUAUUUCCCCCUCGGAGAACGCUGUUUCUUUUUUCAGCCCCCUCUGUUUAAUGCCAUCUGACGGGAGCUGACUGUAGACUUAAUGACGCUUUUACUGAAGCCUGCCAUGUCUCCGUCAGACACGCGGUGACAAGAGCCAGAGCCGGGAUGGAGGGAGACCGUGUGCGAGGUGGUGCCUCGGAGCUGAGGCUGCCUCCCCGUAGACGUAACGAGACACAGAAGCAGAAGGCACGUUGGCAAAGAGCAAAGUGGCCACCUUCAAACAGAUGCGGGAUGGCAACCUCCAACCAGCAGCUCAAGCUUCAGGCAGGAGGACCAGGAAAAUGCAGAAGUGAGAGAGAGAGACAGCAGAGUUUGGGGUUGGGGCAGCGACGGCGCCCAUCGGAGGUACAGGACGUGAACCCUUGUGGGGCUGAAGUUAGGGCUGGCAUGGCCACAGGGCUCUGCGGGCCAGGCGGGGGACUCUGUCAUCGCCUCGGGGAGCCACACACCCUGUCCCGCAGACGAGUGUCAUGAGUGUCACGGCUGGAUCAGAAGGUCCACACGGGUGUGUUUUGGAGAGCUGGCUAGGGUGUGGGUGGCAGAAGCCCAGGUCGGAGGUGGAGACCGUCCCAGUGCUGCCGGGACCAUUUAGGAAGGAUGGACGGGACUCUGCUGUCGAGGGUGAUGAGCGGUGGCAGGAGGUGGGCCGUUCAGCUCUGGGUUAGGGACGACCAGAAGAUCGGGGCUUAAAGAGGAAGGUGACUUCAGGGGGAAAUGCUGCUUGGGCCCUGGGCCCUCUGAGUGGAGACACCCUGCAGGCAGAGAAUGCCUGAAAGGAGGGAGAUAUUUGGCUACCAUCGGCCUUCCAGGUCCAAGGUGCCUGAACGGGCGGGUGUGAGCGGAGAGGUGGCCCCAGCCCCAGGCAGGCGUGGGAGGGGGAGGGGCUGGGCCUGAGCUGGGUCCACCAGAGUGCUGGCUCUGACCGCUGUCCUCAGUGUCCAUGCACACAGGCAGGUCCCGGGACCCAUCCGGGAGGACUGUCCUUUCUCGUGUGACCCGGUUCCAGAUAAGAUGACGCUAAUAAUACCCAGUCACCUCUCUGGACUGUGAGGAGUCGGCAGCUAAUGUUUGCACUGGGCUCGUUAUGAAAUAGCCCGUCCUGAGGCACGGUGCACUUGUCCUUCCUCUCCUCUCCCAGGAUUCUGGAACAGUCUACAGCUGCCCGCACAGCCCUGGUCUUCCCCCAGGUGUCCGGAAGCCUGUGCCUGAGCAUCUCUUGGAAACAACUAUCUUCAUUGGCAGCCCCGUCUUCAAACAGUCGGCCUACGAGAAUGCUCACUCAGAGUCCACUGCUAUUUCUAGAUGAGAAAGCGCGGCCCCGGGGACUGAGCAGGUGGGUGCUGUGUGACCGAGGACGCCUCUCCCUCUCUCAAUUCCUGCACGACGGGAAUGUCGCGUGAGCCGGAUGAACUGUGGAGACCCAGCCCCGAUGUGCUGGCUGUCUGGUGCUAGACCAAACGUCUCACGGCCCACC
This 2054-nucleotide long non-coding RNA is filed under the name Felis catus (domestic cat). RNAcentral describes it as "lncRNA (ENSFCAG00000050342.1)". The record is from RNAcentral. Lineage: Eukaryota; Metazoa; Chordata; Mammalia; Carnivora; Felidae.